GCACCCCCGGCCCGUUUGGAACUUGCCCUUGUCAAAGGCGGAGCAAGAGCGUACACGUUGGGACCCGAAAGAUGGUGAACUAUGCCUGAGCAGGCUGAAGCCAGGGGAAACCCUGGUGGAGGGCCGUAGCGAUUCUGACGUGCAAAUCGAUCGUCCGACUUGGGUAUAGGGGCGAAAGACUAAUCGAACCAUCUAGUAGCUGGUUCCCUCCGAAGUUUCCCUCAGGAUAGCAGGCGCUCGAGGAUGCAGUUUUAUCCGGUAAAGCGAAUGACUAGAGGCCUUGGGGCCGAAACGACCUCAACCUAUUCUCAAACUUUAAAUGGGUAAGAAGCCCUGCUCGCCCGAUCGG
RNAcentral lists this ribosomal RNA (349 nucleotides) under Syllis columbretensis. RNAcentral describes it as "eukaryotic LSU rRNA". It matches the Rfam family "Eukaryotic large subunit ribosomal RNA", at positions 755 to 1098 of the family's 3401-position model. The record is from RNAcentral. Lineage: Eukaryota; Metazoa; Annelida; Polychaeta; Phyllodocida; Syllidae.